This 158-nucleotide unclassified non-coding RNA is filed under the name soil metagenome. Its description in RNAcentral is "partial internal transcribed spacer 1". The record is from RNAcentral.
UAAUAAGUGUUUUAUGGCACUUUUUAAAUCCAUAUCCACCUUGUGUGCAAUGUCAGUCGGUUUUCUUUUUCGUCAAGGAAAAAAGGAUCGACCAAACAUCAACUUAUUCUAAUUGAACUUUUGUCUGAAAACUAUUAUGAAUAAACUAAUUCAAAAUA